Long non-coding RNA from Erpetoichthys calabaricus (reedfish), 702 nucleotides. RefSeq lists it as uncharacterized. The transcript is spliced from 3 exons. The record is from RefSeq and is a predicted model, not a curated record. Lineage: Eukaryota; Metazoa; Chordata; Cladistia; Polypteriformes; Polypteridae.
GGUCCGGCUGCAGGUCGCAGACUUGGCCUUCCACGCCCCCGGCCUUCCACGCCUCCUGCCUUGCACAGUCCGCCCCACAACUGCCUAUAGUCCGUAGAAAGAGAAGAAGAGCUGCUGUACAGUUUUUCCAAUUCGAAAAAGAAAAGGAGCUGAAAACGUUUUCUGACACGGAACAAUGGCACAACAGAACCAGGUUUAGACUUUAUUGAGCCAUUAAUGAGAAGACAGAGUAAAGACUUGGCACUACAUCUGAAAUGAACAAAUGUCUUGCUAUUCUGUUCCAUAGCACUGCAUUCUGCAGAUUUCAGAUUUUUUCUUUUAGAAGAAACGUCAGCGUCCCUUCUCCAACAUCCAGCACAGGGCACUGAUGAGCAGCAGCAUGGAAUCCUUCAGCAUUUCACCGAGGCACAGAAGUGGUGUGCUGAGAACAUUUCUGUGUUCAGAGGGCGAAUCUCACUCCCUGCAUUACUGUCAAUGGACAAAGACGACACUGAGGAGGCCCUUCAGAAAUUUGAUUUGCUAUCUGAAUUUCCAGAAGAAGAGGAGAGAGAAUAUGUCUUUAGACAUAUUUUUUUCACUUAUGGAAGACAUGCAUCUGUUUUUAGAUUAACGUGAGAGGAAAAAGGAAAAUGACUGAGUUUUGUGAGAAAAUGUAACAAACAUACAUGUCCCUCAUUGUUCAGUUACAACCUACAAUUCUUG